ACGGGAGGCAGCAUUGGGGAAUAUUGGGCAAUGGGCGAAAGCCUGACCCAGCGACGCCGCGUGAGGGAAGACGAUCUUCGGAUUGUAAACCUCUUUUAUAAAGGACGAAACAAAUGACGGUACUUUAUGAAUAAGCCACGGCUAACUACAUGCAGCAGCCGCGGUAAUACGUAGGUGGCGAGCGUUAUCCGGAUUUACUGGGUGUAAAGGGUGUGUAGGCGGGAUUGCAAGUCAGAUGUGAAAAUUAUGGGCUCAACUCAUAACUUGCAUUUGAAACUGUAGUGCUUGAGGGUCGGAGAGGUAACUGGAAUUCCUGGUGUAGCGGUGAAAUGCGUAGAUAUCAGGAGGAACACCGGUGGCGAAGGCGGGUUACUGGACGAUUACUGACGCUGAGACACGAAAGCGUGGGGAGCAAACAGGAUUAGAUACCCUGGUA
Molecule: ribosomal RNA, 436 nt
Filed under: uncultured Oscillospiraceae bacterium
Lineage: Bacteria; Bacillati; Bacillota; Clostridia; Eubacteriales; Oscillospiraceae
Description: partial 16S ribosomal RNA
Rfam family: Bacterial small subunit ribosomal RNA
Source: RNAcentral